Molecule: ribosomal RNA, 253 nt
Filed under: uncultured bacterium
Lineage: Bacteria
Description: partial 16S ribosomal RNA
Rfam family: Bacterial small subunit ribosomal RNA
Source: RNAcentral
UACGGAGGGUGCAAGCGUUAUCCGGAUUCACUGGGUUUAAAGGGUGCGUAGGCGGUUAAGUAAGUCCGUGGUGAAAUCUCUGAGCUUAACUCAGAAACUGCCGUGGAUACUAUUUGCCUUGAAUAUUGUGGAGGUGAGCGGAAUAUGUCAUGUAGCGGUGAAAUGCUUAGAUAUGACAUAGAACACCAAUUGCGAAGGCAGCUCACUACACAAUCAUUGACGCUGAGGCACGAAAGCGUGGGGAUCAAACCGG